CGCACAGAUAUCGCACAGCACACUUGAACGCCUCAUUUCAUUUCAAUCCUCCUCGGGUUCUGGAUUCCUGCUCAUCAUCUUAUCUCCAACUGGGUAAAAGUUUACUUCUGACGUUCUCUGGACAUCCUGAACAAAUUCCAUUUCAGUUGUUGUUCCCAGUGAUGUUUGGCAGCUCUGAAGGCUGAUAAGAAACCAGAGACCCAUCUCCCCUUCCCUCCUCUCUUAUCUCACCAGCACACUCCACGUUCCCAAAGAUUCUUCCAGACUAUUUUUAAGAAGGGACUGGAAGGGCCCCACCGACGGUUCUCCUGCAGGAGAAACACAAAGGCACUACUGAGAAAAACCCUGUUGAGUCACGUGAGGGAAAGGACACAAAUUACCUACAGGCUUACCUGAGAGUCCCCGUGACAGAGUCAGAAGCGACUCGGACCUAUACUCUCUGGCCCCGAGAGUGGAUUUUAGAUUCCCUUUUCCCUUCCCUUCACACCUU
Carassius auratus (goldfish) is the source of this 490-nucleotide long non-coding RNA. RefSeq lists it as uncharacterized. Lineage: Eukaryota; Metazoa; Chordata; Actinopteri; Cypriniformes; Cyprinidae. The transcript is spliced from 3 exons. The record is from RefSeq and is a predicted model, not a curated record.